AAACGCAAGACGGAAUAUUUAACGUGUUUUUUGUUGAUCAUCUGAGUUUUCGAUAUUUCGUGACUGUAGCAAACGGUAUAGUUUAGAUUUACGAUAAUAUUACGGCAAUAAUAAUGGUGUUACUCUAUUAAUAGUUUUAAAAGUCAAAGCUGUUUGAAAACUAUUAUUUUAGCAUUGACAGCCGAGCGAAAUUCGUGCCGCUCUAAUGGGGUGAGACGGUUAUCGCCGCCAUUGUUACCGCUAUUAGACGAUAGGGGGCAUCUUAUAACCGUAUUGUUUUAGCCAAUCGCAUUCGAGAUACGGUGCGAGCAUUGCUGGUAACACGGCGUACGCGCGAUGCGGCGGCAAUCGUUAAAAUUAACGAUAUUGGAAUAUAAAUUUUAUUUUAGUUAUAAAAAUUAGGUAGGUGUUACCAGUACUAUAACUGAAGACACAAAAUAAAAAAAUAUUAAUGUACUGGAUACUAGCAAGAUUUGAAGGAUUCAGGUACUAAUUUACUCGCCAGAAUGAAAUAAGGAGAUGAGAUCCUGUUUUCUCUAAUAAUAAGUACGAAUAAACUAUUCUAUAAGUACAGGCUUGGAUAGUACUUAGUAGUGUACUCGCGUACCCGCAUGAUUCGGAUGUACUCCCGGCUCAAAAACCGACAAAUGAGUUUUGGAACGAAGUUCCUUACGGCAGG
Molecule: unclassified non-coding RNA, 679 nt
Filed under: Melitaea cinxia (Glanville fritillary)
Lineage: Eukaryota; Metazoa; Arthropoda; Insecta; Lepidoptera; Nymphalidae
Description: misc RNA ENSMCXG00005003127.1
Source: RNAcentral